Molecule: long non-coding RNA, 637 nt
Organism: Salvelinus fontinalis (brook trout)
Lineage: Eukaryota; Metazoa; Chordata; Actinopteri; Salmoniformes; Salmonidae
Exons: 3
Source: RefSeq, a predicted model, not a curated record
GUGUGUGUGUGUGUGUGUGUGUGUGUGUGUGUGUGUGUGUGUGUGUGUGUGUGUGUGUGUGUGUGUGUGUGUGUGUGUGUGUGUGUGUGUGUGUGUGUGUGUGUGACCGAACAGUAUCUUUCAUGAGGGGCCAGGGACUGAUCUACGCUGCCACGUCCAUCAAUGGGGUGCUGGCAAAGACCUCACCCCAGCCUCACCUCUUGCCUGCUCACCAACGGUCGUCGAUGGGGAGAACAAACUUCAACGUAGUAUAUAUUUGUGUGUCAGAUAUCACCUAUCCCUAACUCACAUAGGUAAUAGAACAGUGACUGUGUGUAUGUGUUCACAGAUGCAUGAGAUGCAGAGAGAUCUGGCGCUCAACACAACCACUCAACACAUCCACAAUAAGAUGGACUGGAGAUGCUUUUGCCAGACGCCAGCCUCAGGCGUUUGAUAGGGAGAAAUUGUAAACAUGUAUGGAGCCAGCACAUGGAGACUUGCAAGAUGUUGUGAUGAAGUCCAGAAUGACAGACGUGCUUGUUACUGAUGUCUCUGAAUGAAGAGAGAUUUGGUAUAAAAGUUUAACUAGACACAACUUUUACUUGUAUUGUCUUUUUUAAAUGAUUGAAUGGUAUCAGUUAAUAUGGGGAGGGAGAAA